GACGGAUGGAUUUAUUGGUAACACACACAGGAAGUUCCUAUUCUACAACAACAAACCGAUGUGUUAAUUUCUGAUGUGAAACAAACUAAAGUGUAUGAAAAUGGACGAGGAAUAGACGAGGACCUGAGACAUAGGACCAUGCCUUAGGACUACCUGACCUGAUGACUCCUUGCUGUCCCCAGUCCACCUGGUCGUGCUGCUGCUCCAGUUUCAACUGUUCUGCCUGUGGCUAUGGAACCCUGACCUGUUCACUGGAUGGGCUACCUGUCCCAGACCUGCUGUUUUCAACUCUCUAGAGACACCAAGAGCGGUAGAGAUACUCUGAAUGAUCGGCUAUGAAAAGCCAACUGACAUUUACUCCUGAGGUGCUGACCGGCACCCUCUACAACCACUGUGAUUAUUAUUAUUUGACCCUACUGGUCAUUUAUGAACAUUUGAACAUCUUGGCCAUGUUCUGUUAUAAUCUCCACUCAGCACAGCCAGAAGAGGACUGGCCACCCCUCAGCCUGGUUCCUCUCUAGGUUUCUUCCUAGGUUCUGGCCUUUUUAGGGAGUUUUUCUUAGCCACUGUGCUUCUACACCUGCAUUGCUUGCUGUUUGGGGUUUUAGGCUGGGUUUCUGUACAGCACUUUGUGACAUCAGCUGACGUAAGAAGGGCUUUAUAAAUUAAUUUGAUUGAUUGAAACUCUUUUCUUUUGGGGGAACUAUCAUUUUCAAAUGUGUUCUAUUUUAGUCCAUGUUACAAAAUAGAUGUGUUGACUGAUUAGGGUAUGGGAAUAUAAGAGCAUCUGCUAGGCUAAAUUAAACUAGGCAUGCACAGCGCACCACAUGAUCCUCAAACCAAAGACUGGCCAAACUCGUGCUUCUAAAAGUGAAGGUGUUUUUUGGUUCAUUCUGAUCAGAAUGAGUUGUUCCCCACACAAGGGCUUUCUUACAGACAGAAAUACCUCCCCCCCCCCCCCCCCCCCCCCCCCCCCUCAUCAGAUUUGGAGGUCCUGGGCUACAUUUUUUUGUAGGUAUGGGAUCUUUUAUUUCAACUCAAGAAAAAUGGGACCAGUGUUUUAUUUUUGUUCAGUGUAGCAUAAAACAUUGCGUAUGUCAUUAUAGAUCGCUUUAUAUAAUCAGGUCCAUUUUAAUUUAUUUUGAAAUCUUAAAUUAUCAAGAUGUAGGCCUAUGCUUUUAGUCAUUUUCUUCAACUAAAGCCACAGCACCCUCACAUAACUCCUCAAUUCAAGACCUGUUUUGACCUUAACACAGCAAGCUCUUCACUUACACAGAUAUUUAAGGAGUGCAUGGUCACUGAAGUGAUUGGCUGACAAUCUAUGGAUGGUAGACUAUAAAUUAAUCUGUCAAACAGGUAGGCCUACCUGUUAUUUCUUGAAUAUGAAUAGGUUCUUAAACAAAGCACUCUUGUUAGUAUUCUAAAGUCAAAUUAAAAUGAAGACUUUAAAUGAAUUAGGUCUUCUUAUAUUUACCUACUACCCAUGCGCUGUCCAUCUCGGCGGCUGCAAAGUAAUGUAUGUAAAUUACUCAUGGCUUUUUGAGGUCAAUAACUCUGAUAAAUAGCUUCAUUAUGAGCAACUAAACCAAUGUUUAUAUUAAAAUUAAUUAUAACGAGGUCAUCCUCUUCACGCUCUCCCUCUCAAACGGAACAGGACAUCAGUAGGUCUAGUCCACGUGAACAGAUAUUGCAUUUUUUUUUAUAUAUAUAUUGACUGGCCUCCUGAAGUGCCACCGUACACAGCACAGUCAUUGGUUAGGCAGCCGCAGCACAAAGGGGUUUACUUCAGCAAGAGCAUUGCAGGACGGGCCUCUUGAUUGGGAGCGCCUAUCCAUUGCAGUGUGUAAUGCAGUGUAGCCUAGUUUUAUAUUCGCCAUCUCAGCAGCGCAAAAACUUGGGAUGGAAGUUCAUUAUUUUAGGAACAUAGCUUUGCCCUGUGCUCUUCGUGUAGCCUAUAGUAUAGACCAGCCUUUCUCAAACUAUUUUGUGCCAGGGAGACCCCAGAGGGUUUUUUAUAUUUGUAUUUUGUUGCAGCAAGAGAGAAGCUGGUCUCACAUAAGUAGGUAGAAUGAAAGGGGAUUCACUUCAACUCUGCCAUAUCGCGUUUGCUGCUGAACAGUGAGAAUGUGAACAGGCGCAUCUCAUUAAAACUAGAGCGCAGGCCUUGGUCACAGGACAGCUCCAAUAGUUUAUCAUCAAUAACUGAUGACAAGCUGUGAGUCUCUUCAGUGCUGGUGAACGGAUUACGUAUCCACUGCUUUCCCAGGCGUGGAUCAGAUUGCGAGGGGAAGUAAUCUUCGAAUUUGAGCAGAGUUUUGCUCAGAUGUGACCCCAACAAUUUAUGUAUGUGAUCCAUGUCUACAUAACCCACGUCAGUCAGAGUUUAGAAUAGAGGGGACAUAUCGAAAAAUGCCUCAAUCCACUCGGUCUCUCCAGACACCCAGUUUUUUCUUGAAAUCGGCAAUUCUAUCGUUUGCUUGGAAAAUGUCACUUUAGCGUCCCUGCAUGGCUAGGUUGAGCAGCAGUCUUGUAUAUAGGCCUGCAGUUCCCGAUACAACGGUCCCAUAGUAAUCCAUGUCCGUAUGUACUCGUUCAGGACACGCAGUUGUAUUCUGAGGCAAGUCUUUGCCAGGUAAUUUUCAUAUGUGGCAAAUAUAUACAAGAAGCGGAAUAUGAAAUGUCAGUCUUCUUGUGAACUACAAUUCUGACGUUGUGUUUUAACGUUUAUAAACAUCCAAAAAUCGUCAGUGAUGAGUGACUAUGACUGCCAGUAAAACAGACGGGGAUGGAACUGGGCCAGUGGAGCAAGCUCUGUCUCAGGACACAUCAGUGAUCUCAGUGUGUUCUGGCUCUGUGGAUGCUGUUUCCUACCUGACCCCGCACCAGAGGAGGAGCAGGGGCUGAUGAGCAUGCCCAAGACCAUGAUGGGAACAAUUUUAACCUGAGGGGGUGGUACAGGAUCAUGCAGUCUUCCCUGACCACAGACAGAGACAGCAGGACAACAUAGCCAGACUCUUUUCCCUCACCCUCCCUCUCCCCAUCUUCCCUCACCUUCUCCCACUAACCAUACUUUUCCCUCACGCUCCUUCUCACCAUCAUCCCUCACCCUCACACCACACUCUAUUCCCCCCCCCCCCCCCCCCCCCCCCCCCCCCCCCCCAUCCUCACCUUCCCCAGGUGUUGCGGAGCAGCUACAGAUGAGUUUCCAGUAGCUGUUUGGUUCCCCUGCGGCCCCUCCAUCCUCCGGGCCCAGCCUGCACCACCAAACCGUGGAGAGCAACCCUCCAGCCCUCCAACCUAAAAUACUGGCACCCAGCCCUGAGGGCCUGCAAGCCCAGGUUCUGUAAGAACCACUAUGCGGAGAUGGAGGCCACUCUUCUCAGGAUGUACGAAUGGCUACUGGACCGGUUCUCCUUCUUCCUGGGGGUGAAACCUGACUGUGUGUAUGAAGAAGUACUGAAGGUGGAGAGGCAUUUCCUCAGGAGUAGCAAGCCCUGGGCUAGAGCUUUAACUACGCCCACAAAGACACAGCCCAGAAAACAGCCCAACGGCAAACAAACCAGAAAAACAACUUUGUUCUCUAGGCAGCUAAAGAGAGUGACUUCAUCGGGACCAACUACUGUGGAUUGUUACUGUGCCAUAAUGCCAUGCUGACGGAUUACUUUAGUUUUUGUCUCGAUGUAACAUGAUUGAGUGUUUGCCUUUUUUGUACAAAUUGCCUGUUAUUACAAUGUUAUACGUGAACCUUUGUCCCAGCUAUGAAUCGAGGUUCAUAGAAAUCAGACAUUUAUGCACAUAUGGCUUUGCAACUCUGUUAAUUAAGGAAUACCUGACAUUUUAAGCUAAGACUACAGGCUGUCAAUUUGCGUGUUACUUUAGUUUUGAGUGUGAAGGACAGGUAAUGGGUGUUACCUGCCAUUAGUGGUUUUGGACUGCUUUGUCCCAAUUCUCAGACACUUCUAUGAAACUUUGUAGAAGCACCUAUGGCAGCGAUUACAGCUUUGAGUCGUAUUGGGUAUGUCUGUAUCAGCAUUGCACAUCUGCAUUUGGGGAUUUUCUCUCAUUCUUCCUUGCAGAUUUUCUCAUGCUCUGUUAAGUUAGAUGGGGAGCGGCAGUGAACAGCAAUCUUCAAGUCACUCCAGAUCAUCACCAAAUUUCACAGUGGGUGCGAGACCUGGAGAGGCCUACAAGCCACAGUGCCAGGUCAAUCAAGGUGUGGAUGGAGGACCACCAGAUCAAGACCCUGUCAUGGCCAGCCCAAUCUCCAGACCUGAACACCAUUGAAAACCUCUGGAAUGUGAUCAAGAGGAAGAUGGAUGGUCACAAGCCAUCAAACAAAACCAAGCUACUUACAUUUUUGCUCCAGGAGUGGCAUACAAUUGGAAAAUCUGAACAUCGCUCCCCAUGAUGGCUGUCUUUCGGAACGUAUUCCCACCUAUAAAUACCUUGGAGUUUGGUUAGAUGAUCAUCUCUUUUAAAACUCAUAACUGAGAUGGCAAAGAAGCUGUGUCAUCAGAGCACAGAACGUAAAUUGUACAGGCCACUUAUGUCAGUGCUUGAUUAUGGUGAUGUUUUAUAUAUGCAUGGAUCAGCAUCAGUACUGAAGACAUUGGAUGCAGCGUUGCGCUUUGUUACUUUUGCACACAUCAUUGCCUUUUAUACACUUUGGCUGGCUGGGACUCCCUGACUUUUAGAAGGACCAGACACUGGUUGAUAUUUGUCUAUAAAGCUGUCUUACAGAAACUUCCUAAUUAUCUUAACUCAACAAUCCAGUGGUCAAACAGAAUUUAUCAGACUCGGUCACAGGACAUGCUAGUGCUAGAGAUGCCCCAGAUUCACUCUGAGUUAGACAAAACGGCAUUUCAAUAUCAUGCUCCACACUCAUGGAAUGAAUUGCAGAGAUAACUCCAGUUAGAUGUUUUGGUGCCUGUAAGACAGUUUAAAUGCACAUUACAUUAACCUUUUAGUAUAAACUGUGAUUUCUUUAUGUAAUGUGUUUUUCUUAUAGAAGUGUAUUUAUUUAAAUAUUUUUCAUCUCCGUCUUGUUACGGCUGUUAAAGGAAGAGGACCAAAGCGCAGCGUGGUUGGCGUACAUUUUCCUUUAUUGAAUACAAAUGACGCCGAACAAAACAAUAAACACUAAAAAACAGCUAAAGGCUAUGUGCCCUAAACAAAGUCAACUUCCCACAAAGACAGGUGGGAAAAGGGCUACCUAAGUAUGGUUCUCAAUCAGAGACAACGAUGGACAGCUGCCUCUGAUUGAGAACCACACCCGACCAAACACAAAGAAAUAGAAACAUAGAAAUAAAGAAACUAGAAUGCCCACCCUAGUCACACCCUGGAAUAACCAAAAUAGAGAAUAAAAGCCUCUCUAUGGCCAGGGCGUGACACUUGUACUUUUUAUAUGUUUUCAUUUUGUUUGGUUUUAAAUUCGUAUUAAUUGCUGUGUUUGUAUUGUUGUAUCACAGGGCACAACUGUAACAGAGACUGUCUCAGCUUGUUUCUCCUGUUUUAAUAAAGAUUAAUAAAAUAAAGUCA
Molecule: long non-coding RNA, 5538 nt
Organism: Oncorhynchus kisutch (coho salmon)
Lineage: Eukaryota; Metazoa; Chordata; Actinopteri; Salmoniformes; Salmonidae
Exons: 6
Source: RefSeq, a predicted model, not a curated record